This 467-nucleotide ribosomal RNA is filed under the name uncultured bacterium. RNAcentral's name for it is "partial 16S ribosomal RNA". It matches the Rfam family "Bacterial small subunit ribosomal RNA", at positions 28 to 506 of the family's 1533-position model. The record is from RNAcentral.
GACGAACGCUGGCGGCGUGCUUAACACAUGCAAGUCGAACGGAAAGGCCCUGCUUUUGUGGGGUGCUCGAGUGGCGAACGGGUGAGUAACACGUGAGUAACCUGCCCUUGACUUUGGGAUAACUUCAGGAAACUGGGGCUAAUACCGGAUAGGAGCUACUGCUGCAUGGUGGGGGUUGGAAAGUUUCGGCGGUUGGGGAUGGACUCGCGGCUUAUCAGCUUGUUGGUGGGGUAGGGGCUUACCAAGGCUUUGACGGGUAGCCGGCCUGGGAGGGUGACCGGCCCCAUUGGGACUGGGGUACGGCCCAGACUCCUACGGGCGGCAGCAGUGGGGAAUAUUGCACAAUGGGCCGAAGCCUGAUGCAGCAACUCCGCGUGCGGGAUGACGGCCUUCGGGUUGUAAACCGCUUUCGCCUGUGACGAAGCGUGAGUGACGGUAAUGGGUAAAGAAGCACCGGCUAACUACGG